Molecule: transfer RNA, 71 nt
Filed under: Apodemus sylvaticus (European woodmouse)
Lineage: Eukaryota; Metazoa; Chordata; Mammalia; Rodentia; Muridae
Description: tRNA-Gln
Rfam family: tRNA
About the family: Transfer RNA (tRNA) molecules are approximately 80 nucleotides in length.
Source: RNAcentral
UAGAAUUGGGUGUAUUGGUAGCACAAAGAACUUUGAAUUCUUAAGUACGGGUUCAAUUCCUGUAGUUCUAG